Molecule: ribosomal RNA, 151 nt
Filed under: uncultured bacterium
Lineage: Bacteria
Description: partial 16S ribosomal RNA
Rfam family: Bacterial small subunit ribosomal RNA
Source: RNAcentral
UUUUCUCAAUGGGGGAAACCCUGAAGGAGCGACGCCGCGUGGAGGAUGAAGGUCUUCGGAUUGUAAACUCCUGUCAUUAGGGAACAAUUGUCGCCGAGUAACUACCGGUGGCUUGAUAGUACCUGAAGAGGAAGAGACGGCUAACUCUGUG